RNAcentral lists this ribosomal RNA (566 nucleotides) under Ogataea piceae. RNAcentral's name for it is "eukaryotic LSU rRNA". It matches the Rfam family "Eukaryotic large subunit ribosomal RNA", at positions 62 to 648 of the family's 3401-position model. The record is from RNAcentral. Lineage: Eukaryota; Fungi; Ascomycota; Pichiomycetes; Pichiales; Pichiaceae.
AAACCAACAGGGAUUGCCUUAGUAGCGGCGAGUGAAGCGGCAAGAGCUCAAAUUUGAAAUCUGGUACCUUCGGUGCCCGAGUUGUAAUUUGAAGAAAGCUAUCUUGGAUUUGGCCUUUGUCUAUGUUCCUUGGAACAGGACGUCACAGAGGGUGAGAAUCCCGUGCGAUGAGGUGUCCAUUUCUAUGUAAGAUGUUUUCGAAGAGUCGAGUUGUUUGGGAAUGCAGCUCUAAGUGGGUGGUAAAUUCCAUCUAAAGCUAAAUAUUGGCGAGAGACCGAUAGCGAACAAGUACAGUGAUGGAAAGAUGAAAAGAACUUUGAAAAGAGAGUGAAAAAGUACGUGAAAUUGUUGAAAGGGAAGGGUAUUAGAUCAGACUUGGUAUUUAGUUAUCAUUACUCCUUGUGGGUGGUGCUCUAACUUUUUACUGGGCCAGCAUCAGUUUUGAUGGCAGGAUAAUGACAUUUGAACGUGGCUCUUCGGAGUGUUAUAGCUUUUGUUGAUACUGCCUAUUGGGACUGAGGUCUGCGGCUUUUGCCUAGGAUGCUGGCGUAAUGAUCCAAUACCGC